GACGAACGCUGGCGGCGUGCUUAACACAUGCAAGUCGAACGGAAAGGCCCUGCUUUUGUGGGGUGCUCGAGUGGCGAACGGGUGAGUAACACGUGAGUAUCCUGCCCUUGACUUUGGGAUAACUUCAGGAAACUGGGGCUAAUACCGGAUAGGAGCUCCUGCUGCAUGGUGGGGGUUGGAAAGUUUCGGCGGUUGGGGAUGGACUCGCGGCUUAUCAGCUUGUUGGUGGGGUAGUGGCUUACCAAGGCUUUGACGGGUAGCCGGCCUGAGAGGGUGACCGGCCACAAUGGGACUGAGGUACGGCCCAGACUCCUACGGGAGGCAGCAGUGGGGAGUAUUACACAAUGGGCGGGAGCCUGAUGCAGCAACGCCGCGUGCGGGAUGACGGCCUUCGGGUUGUAAACCGCUUUCGCCUGUGACGAAGCGUGAGUGACGGUAAUGGGUAAAGAAGCACCGGCUAACUACGUG
This 468-nucleotide ribosomal RNA is filed under the name uncultured bacterium. RNAcentral describes it as "partial 16S ribosomal RNA". It matches the Rfam family "Bacterial small subunit ribosomal RNA", at positions 28 to 507 of the family's 1533-position model. The record is from RNAcentral.